Molecule: ribosomal RNA, 200 nt
Filed under: uncultured bacterium
Lineage: Bacteria
Description: partial 16S ribosomal RNA
Rfam family: Bacterial small subunit ribosomal RNA
Source: RNAcentral
AGCGAACGCUGGCGGCAGGCCUAACACAUGCAAGUCGAACGCACCUUCGGGUGAGUGGCGGACGGGUGAGUAACACGUAGGAACGUACCUUUUGGUUCGGAAUAACGCAGGGAAACUUGUGCUAAUACCGAAUGUGCCCUUCGGGGGAAAGAUUUAUCGCCAUUAGAGCGGCCCGCGUUAGAUUAGCUAGUUGGUGAGGU